Molecule: ribosomal RNA, 981 nt
Filed under: Marinococcus halotolerans
Lineage: Bacteria; Bacillati; Bacillota; Bacilli; Caryophanales; Bacillaceae
Description: bacterial SSU rRNA
Rfam family: Bacterial small subunit ribosomal RNA
Source: RNAcentral
UGCAAGUCGAGCGCGGGAAGCCGGCGGACUCCUUCGGGAGGAAACCGGUGGAACGAGCGGCGGACGGGUGAGUAACACGUGGGCAACCUGCCGGACUGAUGGGAAUAACCCCGGGAAACCGGGGCUAAUGCCCAAUACGCCCUGACCUCGCCUGAGGUCAGCGGUAAAGCAGGGAUCUUCGGAUCCUUGCACAGUCCGAUGGGCCCGCGGCGCAUUAGCUAGUUGGAGAGGUAAGGGCUCCCCAAGGCGACGAUGCGUAGCCGACCUGAGAGGGUGAUCGGCCACACUGGGACUGAGACACGGCCCAGACUCCUACGGGAGGCAGCAGUAGGGAAUCAUCCGCAAUGGGCGAAAGCCUGACGGUGCAACGCCGCGUGAGUGAUGAAGGUUUUCGGAUCGUAAAGCUCUGUUGACAGGGAAGAACCCACGUCAGUCGAACAGGCUGGCGUGCUGACGGUACCUGUCCAGAAAGCCCCGGCUAACUACGUGCCAGCAGCCGCGGUAAUACGUAGGGGGCAAGCGUUGUCCGGAAUUAUUGGGCGUAAAGGGCACGCAGGCGGUUUCGUCAGUCCGAUGUGACAGGCCACGGCUCAACCGUGGAAGGCCAUUGGAAACUGCGAAACUUGAGGACAGAAGAGGAGAGUGGAAUUCCACGUGUAGCGGUGAAAUGCGUAGAUAUGUGGAGGAACACCAGUGGCGAAGGCGACUCUCUGGUCUGUACCUGACGCUGAGGUGCGAAAGCAUGGGGAGCAAACAGGAUUAGAUACCCUGGUAGUCCAUGCCGUAAACGCUGAGUGCUAGGUGUUAGGGGUUUCGAUACCCGUAGUGCCGAAGCUAACGCAUUAAGCACUCCGCCUGGGGAGUACGACCGCAAGGUUGAAACUCAAAGGAAUUGACGGGGGCCCGCACAAGCGGUGGAGCAUGUGGUUUAAUUCGACGCCACGCGAAGAACCUUACCAGAUCUUGACAUCUUCCGCUACG